Molecule: long non-coding RNA, 583 nt
Filed under: Cricetulus griseus (Chinese hamster)
Lineage: Eukaryota; Metazoa; Chordata; Mammalia; Rodentia; Cricetidae
Description: lncRNA (ENSCGRG00000024594.1)
Source: RNAcentral
UUUCAGGGCCUAAGUUUUUAAACUUUUAUUAAUUUUAAUUUUUGUUCCUCAGCACCCUCAGGCAAUGGAACUGUAGUCACUUAAGAUUGUAGACCACCGUGAGUGCCAUGAACCAAACCCUGAAGUGCUCCAAACCACUGAGUCAUCUCUCCAGUCCUUUAGCUGCUUUUUACAUCUAUUUGGUGAAGCAGAAAACCUAGUUUGCACAUUGUUUUGGAUUUUUGAGAGAACAAGACGUCUGGUCCUCAGAUCUGCAACCUUCACCAACAUAUGUGAAUGAGAUAAGAUAUAUAGAGCCCACACUCAAGAAGAAGCUGUUUAUUGAAACACUAGAUAACCAUGCACAGGUAUAUUGAACUUAAGACAGGAUAGAGAGAUGGGAAAUUUUGAAAACAUGGCAAGGGAAAGGAGUCCUUCACCUGAGUCUGGCUGAAGCUUCUCCCCAGCUGAAAAUCAGGAGUUCCAACAUUAUAAGCCCAUUCAUUCAAGGCACCUCCAAAGACACCCUUUAACCUCACCUACCAAAGAAAGGUGGGGAGAUUUCAUAGUGAGUUAGAACAUGAAAACCAUUGAAACAGUACAC